Molecule: ribosomal RNA, 403 nt
Filed under: bacterium
Lineage: Bacteria
Description: partial 16S ribosomal RNA
Rfam family: Bacterial small subunit ribosomal RNA
Source: RNAcentral
UGGGGAAUAUUGCACAAUGGGGGAAACCCUGAUGCAGCGACGCCGCGUGAACGAAGAAGGUAUUCGUAUCGUAAAGUUCUGUCCUAUGGGAAGAUAAUGACAGUACCAUAGAAGAAAGCUCCGGCUAAAUACGUGCCAGCAGCCGCGGUAAUACGUAUGGAGCGAGCGUUGUCCGGAAUUAUUGGGCGUAAAGGGUACGCAGGCGGUUUAAUAAGUCGAAUGUUAAAGAUCGGGGCUCAACCCCGCAAAGCAUUGGAAACUGAUAAACUUGAGUAGUGGAGAGGAAAGUGGAAUUCCUAGUGUAGUGGUGAAAUACGUAGAUAUUAGGAGGAAUACCAGUAGCGAAGGCGACGUUCUGCACACAAACUGACGCUGAGGUACGAAAGCGUGGGGAGCAAACAGG